Long non-coding RNA from Mugil cephalus (flathead mullet), 589 nucleotides. RefSeq lists it as uncharacterized. The transcript is spliced from 3 exons. Lineage: Eukaryota; Metazoa; Chordata; Actinopteri; Mugiliformes; Mugilidae. The record is from RefSeq and is a predicted model, not a curated record.
GUUUUUCAGAAGCUGAGAUUCUAAAGUGGCGCCGUCGUCUCCUUCCUGGUGCUCCUCUGUUUGCUUGUGUUCAUCCUUCCCUCAGGAACACACAGAGCAGACAGUGACGCAGACAUCGUGAGGCUGCUGCUGCGACACAAAUGGCAUCUGCUGAGGAAACACACACGGCUAAUGCUGAAGAAACCAGGCGCUGGAGGCAAAUUUACCGUUGGGGACUGUGAGAGCAGCCACAGAAAGGCACCGGCUUUACUGCUCAACGUAUGACCCACAAGUCAAGACAGAUUACGUCUGAUUGGAUUCGCCAAUGGGGAGUCUGACCUACAAUCUGCUGCAUUCGCCGUCUCCCUGGGCAAAGGUUUCCAUGGGAACAGGCCCUGGGCUCCUUUAAUCUGUUGUUUUGCAGCCCUCACUCAUCUGGAGGCAGGCUGGAUUCCUUUUUGUCAGGCCUGUAUUCUUCUGCUCUAUUUCCUCCCUUAGCUCUCCCUCCUCACUCUCUCUAGUUCCCCCCCGUUCUCUCUUUCGUACACUCCAGUCUCGUGUUAUAAAAUGGCUCAGACAGAUCAGCUGUAGACUCUCUGCGGAGACUUGG